RNAcentral lists this ribosomal RNA (519 nucleotides) under SRB bacterium enrichment culture clone SRtB-otu8-1. RNAcentral's name for it is "bacterial SSU rRNA". It matches the Rfam family "Bacterial small subunit ribosomal RNA", at positions 12 to 527 of the family's 1533-position model. The record is from RNAcentral.
UUUGAUCAUGGCUCAGGAUGAACGCUGGCGGCGUGCCUAACACAUGCAAGUCGAGCGAGAAGUUUAUGGAGUGCGUUUUCGGACAAGUGAAGUAAACGGAAAGCGGCGGACGGGUGAGUAACGCGUAGGCAACCUGCCCCAUACAGAGGGAUAGCCUCGAGAAAUCGGGAUUAAAACCUCAUAAUGCCAUCGAGUCACAUGGCUCUUUGGCCAAAGAUUUAUCGGUAUGGGAUGGGCCUGCGUCUGAUUAGCUAGUUGGUGAGGUAACGGCUCACCAAGGCUGCGAUCAGUAGCAGAACUGAGAGGUUCAUCUGCCACAUUGGAACUGAGACACGGUCCAAACUCCUACGGGAGGCAGCAGUGAGGAAUAUUGCACAAUGGGCGAAAGCCUGAUGCAGCAACGCCGCGUGAGCGAUGAAGGCCUUUGGGUCGUAAAGCUCUGUCCUUGGGGAAGAAACAAAUGACGGUACCCUUGGAGGAAGCCCCGGCUAACUACGUGCCAGCCGCCGCGGUAAUUCA